Molecule: long non-coding RNA, 352 nt
Filed under: Malus domestica (apple)
Lineage: Eukaryota; Viridiplantae; Streptophyta; Magnoliopsida; Rosales; Rosaceae
Description: long non-coding RNA (MDOM_LNC001265)
Source: RNAcentral
GGCUAAUUAUGUAGAGUGUAGAAAAGAAGAGCAUCAAUGGGGUCUGCAUCUGCAAGUGCGGGUGAUUCACCGCCCCCAUCAAGCCCCGAUGCCGCCCAAAACAACAUCCAGGUCCCUUGCGUUCCCUUCCGUUUGUGUUUAUUUAUGCUUUAUUAUUUCUAUCUCUACAAAUCUUGUCUAAUUUUAUAAUUAAGCAGCAUUUCUUUGUUCUUCACAGAAAAAUCAACUUCUGGUGGGAAAGCCCGAAAGAGGCUCGACCUAUGCCCAACAAAGCUUAAGGAAGGCGACGAGGGCUGCUUGCGAAUGGAAGCAUUUCAGUUAGUUUGGUCAGGAAUCGAAUCCUCCAUCAAGG